Long non-coding RNA from Oncorhynchus keta (chum salmon), 2646 nucleotides. RefSeq lists it as uncharacterized. Lineage: Eukaryota; Metazoa; Chordata; Actinopteri; Salmoniformes; Salmonidae. The record is from RefSeq and is a predicted model, not a curated record. The transcript has 4 exons.
UCCACUUUGUAACACAAUGAAAUGUGAAUGUCCAGGGGGGUAUAGGCACCUAUCGGCACUGUAGGUUAAUAACGUAAACAUAUAUUAUGUUUUGUACUUUCUUAAACCGGUGGACUGUGAACAUGUGAGAAAAUGUAUAGACGACUAUAACCACAGACGUUGUUUGGUUCAGAUUUGGUCCGCUCUGGACCGGCCCUGAUUUGGCCCAAACAUAGACUUGCCUAGGGUUGGUUCCGAUUUGGUCCUGCCUGACAAAAUUGGGUCUUGUUAAGGGCUGGAGCACAUUUAAAAAAUACCCAGAGUGCUUUGCAAGUGUUCAUUUUUGUAUUUACAUGGUGGUCAUUUAGCAGACACUUUUACUGAGAGCAAUUUACAGUCAGUAAAUUGGAUCCAGGUGCGACUGUCGUCACGGUCACAGCUGCAACCUAACUAUUUGACAUUACUGAUCUCUAAGCAAUGAUGCCACCGCUGCUGAUUCCUUGCCUCUCAACCAGAGAAAUACCUGGCUGACUACAGUGGAGCUGCAGGCCACUGACGUCACCAGGCGAUGUUCCCACAGCUGAGCAGAGGAUCCAAUACGACAAACCAUGCAGCAGAUCCCCAAUGCACGUGGAUAUUGCGGCCUUCUUGAUCAAGUUCUAAUGAAGUGGCCGAUGAUAUCUGCAUCCUGUUGAUAGACACUACGCCCCAGACGCAGAAACUGGAGGACACAACAGCCAUUAUCUGCUCAUAAUUACUGAACCAAAAUAUAAACGCAACAUGUUUAGUGUUGGUCCUAUGUUUCAUGAGCUCAAUUAAAAGAUCCCAGAAAUGGUUUACAUCCUUGUUAGUGAGCAUUUCUGAUAAUCCAUCCACUUGACAGGUGUGGCAUAUCAAAAAGCUGAUUAUAAAGCAGUAUCAUUACACAGGUGCACCAUGUGCUGGGGACAAUAAAAGGCCACUCUAAAAUGUGCAGUAGCGUGCAAUUGGCAUGCUGAUUGCAGGAAUGUCCACCAGAGUUGUUGGCAGAUAAUUUACUCUUAAUUUCUCUGCCAUAAGGCAUCUCCAACGACCUUUUAGAGAAUUUGGCAGUACAUCCAACCGGCCUCACAACCGCAGAGCACGUGUAACCACGCCAGCCCAGGACCUCCAUAGCUGGCUUAUUCACUUGCGGGAUCGUUUGAGACCAGCCACGCGAACAGGUGAUGAAAUUGAGGAGUAUUUCUGUCUGUAAUGUAGCCAUUUUGUGGAGAAAGCUCAUUCUGAUUGGUUGGGCCUGGCUCCGCAGUGGGUGGCCCAUCCAUGGCUACGCCCAGUCAUGUGAAAUCCAAAGAUUAGGGCCUAAUGAAUUUCCAUAAAUGAACUGUUACUCAGUAAAAUCAUAGAAAUUGUUGCAUGUUGGGCUAAUCAUUUUGUUCAGUAUAGUUAUCAGUUAUUACGAGGGGCACAACUUUGGAAUUAUUAUUAUGACUUUUUUUCCCCGAAUAAACACUCCAAACAGCCUUCCCCGACCGCUCUGAGGGGUCUGCAUGGUCCUAAAGCACAAUGUUGCCUCGUUUUGUAUCACAAUCCAAUGAGAAAACUGGGGGGGACAAAAAUGCAACUUCCGACUGUGGGGGGACAUGUCCCCCCCGUCCCCAGUGAAAGUUGCACCCCUGGUUAUUACCUGUGGAAUUUUCCUUCUAUACACUAUUAUGAUAUGAUUGCUUUGUAACUCUGCGACCAAUCUCUAAUCACAUACUGUAGUCAUAUAAAGUGGAGUUCCUCCUCCACCAAUAGCUCAGGGUUGCAAUGUUAAACGUUGAACUCCACUCUCUUUUAAACUGAGGUGAACUGACAGACAGUGGACCAGCAGCAGUCGGUACGUAACCUGACACCACCGGAAGUCUUCGUGGCAUUUGUCUAGAACAAAUGAAAACGUUAUUGAACUAUUUACAGAUUACAGAUAUACAGAAGAAUGAAGAUAAAUAGGAAUAUAUUAGCAUAUACAAUGGAAUUAUGAAUUUAAAAAAAAUUACAAAUCAAAGAAAUGUUUUAAACUGAAAUGUCUUUAGUCAAUAAGUAUUCAAAUCCUUUGUUAUGGCAAGUCUAGAGUUCAGGAGUAAACAUUUGCUUAACAAGUCACAUAAUACAUUGCAUGGACUCACUCUAUGUGCAAUAAUAGUGAUUAACAUGAUUUGUUUUAUGAUUACCUCAUCUCUGUACUCCACACAUACAAUUAUCUGUAAGGUCCAUCAGUCGAGCAGUGAAUUUCCAACACAGAUUUAAUCACAAACACCUCAUAAAGAAGGGCACCUAUUGGUAGAUUAAAAAAAUGUAAAAAGCAGACAAUGAAUAUCCCUUUGAGCAUGGUGAAAUGAAUGACACAUUUGAUGGUGUAUCAAUACACCCAGUCACUACAAAGAUACAGGCGUCCUUCCUAACUCAGUUGACGGAGAGGAAGGAAGCCACUCAGGGAUUUCACCAUGAGGCCAACGUUGACUUCAUAACACUUACAUUGUUUAAUAGCUGUGAUAGGAGAAAACUAAAGAUUACAUUGUAACAUCUCCACAAUAGUAACCUAAUUAACAGCGUGAAAAGAAGAAAGCCAGUACAAAAUGUAAAUAUUCCAAAACAUGCAUCCGUUUGCAACAAGGCACUAAAGUAAUACUGCAAAAAAUGUGACAA